AGGUGACAGUGUGGUUGGACCACAAGGUCUCCCCGGCCCAAUGGGUCCCAAAGGUUCAUCUGUGGAGGGUCCCCGUGGACCACCAGGAGUUCCCGGCCCCGUCGGAGCCCCUGGUGAAGGCAGACCCGGCCCCCCAGGCCCCCCCGGGCUGUUGGAAGACAGUGUGUCGUCCAGAAA
Long non-coding RNA from Callorhinchus milii (elephant shark), 177 nucleotides. RefSeq lists it as uncharacterized. The record is from RefSeq and is a predicted model, not a curated record. NCBI's taxonomy places the organism in Eukaryota, Metazoa, Chordata, Chondrichthyes, Chimaeriformes, Callorhinchidae. The transcript is spliced from 3 exons.